AAAAGGAGGGGACUGUGUAAUCCCUAAGAUCUCCAGUGAUUUCUUUGGCACAGGGAACUCCUUGGUGAGGACACUCACCCUACCAGUACAGUGUGUUUCUGAGGUUCCUUCUUCCUUGAGAUGAGAUGAGGCUGGACUAGAGUAAACCCGGUUGUGUGAGAAGAUUACCAAAUUUGGAGUCUGAAGACCUGGGCUCAAACAUCCUCAUCUUGUGUGAGCUUAGGGGGGAAACAGAGAGAAACUCCACAGAAGAGCAGAAGGACUCAUUUAGGGGAAAGAAUUCCAGAGAAGAAAAUCACUUGGCCACAGUCAUACACCCCAUACAGUUAUUGACCCAGUUGCUGCUUGAACCUGGUUCUUCUGACCUCCAAAUGGAAGUAUUUCACAGUGCACAUGUUUCACGGACAGGUAAUAUGCCUCCAUUAAUCAGAUAUCAUGGGGGACUCUGAUAUCUUCUGGGGGGCCAAGGACACUGGGUCCCCCAAAGGAGACAGGAAAUAAUGAUGGCUGUUCUUUAGCUCCCACCUGAGGUCUAGACAGCAGUCAAAUGGGCAAGGUCUUGGCGACCUGGUGCUUGAAGAUCCCUGCCCAUUUCCUCCAGGGUCGGCACCAGCCCAGAAUCCUUAUCAGCCCUGGCCAGGCAGUCCCCAGGUCUUAUCUGCCC
Non-coding RNA from Phascolarctos cinereus (koala), 664 nucleotides. NCBI's taxonomy places the organism in Eukaryota, Metazoa, Chordata, Mammalia, Diprotodontia, Phascolarctidae. The record is from RefSeq and is a predicted model, not a curated record.